Molecule: ribosomal RNA, 473 nt
Filed under: uncultured bacterium
Lineage: Bacteria
Description: bacterial SSU rRNA
Rfam family: Bacterial small subunit ribosomal RNA
Source: RNAcentral
ACUCCUACGGGAGGCAGCAGUGGGGAAUAUUGCACAAUGGGCGCAAGCCUGAUGCAGCCAUGCCGCGUGUAUGAAGAAGGCCUUCGGGUUGUAAAGUACUUUCAGCAGUGAGGAAGGUGGGUAUGUUAAUAGCAUAUUCAUUUGACGUUAGCUGCAGAAGAAGCACCGGCUAACUCCGUGCCAGCAGCCGCGGUAAUACGGAGGGUGCGAGCGUUAAUCGGAAUUACUGGGCGUAAAGCGCAUGCAGGUGGUUUGUUAAGUCAGAUGUGAAAGCCCGGGGCUCAACCUCGGAAUUGCAUUUGAAACUGGCAAACUAGAGUACUGUAGAGGGGGGUAGAAUUUCAGGUGUAGCGGUGAAAUGCGUAGAGAUCUGAAGGAAUACCGGUGGCGAAGGCGGCCCCCUGGACAGAUACUGACACUCAGAUGCGAAAGCGUGGGGAGCAAACAGGAUUAGAUUCCCUGGUAGGCUCUGC